This 371-nucleotide ribosomal RNA is filed under the name uncultured bacterium. Its description in RNAcentral is "bacterial SSU rRNA". It matches the Rfam family "Bacterial small subunit ribosomal RNA", at positions 524 to 898 of the family's 1533-position model. The record is from RNAcentral.
UACGUAGGUGGCGAGCGUUAUCCGGAAUCAUUGGGCGUAAAGAGGGAGCAGGCGGCCGCAAGGGUCUGUGGUGAAAGACCGAAGCUAAACUUCGGUAAGCCAUGGAAACCGGGCGGCUAGAGUGCGGAAGAGGAUCGUGGAAUUCCAUGUGUAGCGGUGAAAUGCGUAGAUAUAUGGAGGAACACCAGUGGCGAAGGCGACGGUCUGGGCCGCAACUGACGCUCAUUCCCGAAAGCGUGGGGAGCAAAUAGGAUUAGAUACCCUAGUAGUCCACGCCGUAAACGAUGGUCACUAAGUGUCGGGGGUCAAACCCCGGUGCUGCAGUCAACGCAAUAAGUGACCCGCCUGAGUAGUACGUUCGCAAGAAUGAA